AAAUCUGGCGUAUUCUGCGUCCGAGUUGUAAUUUGAAGAAGGAUACUUUGGGGUUGGCUCUUGUCUAUGUUUCUUGGAACAGAACGUCACAGAGGGUGAGAAUCCCGUGCGAUGAGAAGCCCAAUUCCGUGUAAAGUGCCUUCGAAGAGUCGAGUUGUUUGGGAAUGCAGCUCUAAGUGGGUGGUAAAUUCCAUCUAAAGCUAAAUAUUGGCGAGAGACCGAUAGCGAACAAGUACAGUGAUGGAAAGAUGAAAAGAACUUUGAAAAGAGAGUGAAAAAGUACGUGAAAUUGUUGAAAGGGAAGGGCUUGAGAUCAGACUUGGUAUUUUGUAUGUCUUGCUUUCGGGUGGGGCCUCUGCAGUUUACUGGGCCAGCAUCGGUUCGGGUGGUAGGACAAUUGCGAAGGAACGUGGCACUGCUUCGGUGGUGUGUUAUAGCCUUUGUGGAUACUGCCU
Molecule: ribosomal RNA, 455 nt
Filed under: Hemisphaericaspora elongata
Lineage: Eukaryota; Fungi; Ascomycota; Pichiomycetes; Serinales; Debaryomycetaceae
Description: Spathaspora elongata partial large subunit ribosomal RNA
Rfam family: Eukaryotic large subunit ribosomal RNA
Source: RNAcentral